RNAcentral lists this ribosomal RNA (639 nucleotides) under uncultured Pseudomonadaceae bacterium. RNAcentral describes it as "SSU rRNA". It matches the Rfam family "Bacterial small subunit ribosomal RNA", at positions 199 to 817 of the family's 1533-position model. Lineage: Bacteria; Pseudomonadati; Pseudomonadota; Gammaproteobacteria; Pseudomonadales; Pseudomonadaceae. The record is from RNAcentral.
GGAGAAAGUGGGGGAUCUUCGGACCUCACGCUAUCAGAUGAGCCUAGGUCGGAUUAGCUAGUUGGUGGGGUAAAGGCCUACCAAGGCGACGAUCCGUAACUGGUCUGAGAGGAUGAUCAGUCACACUGGAACUGAGACACGGUCCAGACUCCUACGGGAGGCAGCAGUGGGGAAUAUUGGACAAUGGGCGAAAGCCUGAUCCAGCCAUGCCGCGUGUGUGAAGAAGGUCUUCGGAUUGUAAAGCACUUUAAGUUGGGAGGAAGGGCAGUAAGUUAAUACCUUGCUGUUUUGACGUUACCAACAGAAUAAGCACCGGCUAACUUCGUGCCAGCAGCCGCGGUAAUACGAAGGGUGCAAGCGUUAAUCGGAAUUACUGGGCGUAAAGCGCGCGUAGGUGGUUCAGCAAGUUGGAUGUGAAAUCCCCGGGCUCAACCUGGGAACUGCAUCCAAAACUACGGAGCUAGAGUACGGUAGAGGGUGGUGGAAUUUCCUGUGUAGCGGUGAAAUGCGUAGAUAUAGGAAGGAACACCAGUGGCGAAGGCGACCACCUGGACUGAUACUGACACUGAGGUGCGAAAGCGUGGGGAGCAAACAGGAUUAGAUAACCCUGGUAGUCCAUCGCCGUAAACGAUGUCGACU